This 491-nucleotide long non-coding RNA is filed under the name Homo sapiens (human). RNAcentral describes it as "HSALNT0241227". The record is from RNAcentral. Lineage: Eukaryota; Metazoa; Chordata; Mammalia; Primates; Hominidae.
UGACAUACAUAGCAGAGUCCCAGAAGAAAGAACUGACUACUAACAAAUUGAAACAAGUACCCUUCAGGGGACCGUGGAUAUAACCUGACUCCUUCAGUGACAAAAAUCAAGGCUGAAACUUUCAAAAAAAAAAAAAAAAUCAGAUCUAGAACACCCCGCAAGUAAUUUCUUCCCAUUUUCCUAGUUUUGCUGCCAUGUUAACAUAAAAUCUGGAUCCAGCUUGUCCUGUUCCUUCUUCCUUUGGGAUUCAUCCCGAAGUGAGUCUCGCUCCAGUUUUCGGGCAUUAAGGACAUCUUCCACAUUGGUGUUUCGGAACAGAACUACAGUGAACUUCCAAGCUUCCUCACAGGCUGUGUUAAAGUUUUCCCAUUUAUAAGCCAAUCUUGCCAGAAGAGGCUCUGGAACUCAAAUGGGUUACUGCCAGAAGAAUCUGGGACAGCUGCACUAGUGUUAUAUUUCAACCAUGUACCCAAUCUAUGAACUGCUUCCAC